Nothoprocta perdicaria is the source of this 573-nucleotide long non-coding RNA. RefSeq lists it as uncharacterized. The transcript has 3 exons. NCBI's taxonomy places the organism in Eukaryota, Metazoa, Chordata, Aves, Tinamiformes, Tinamidae. The record is from RefSeq and is a predicted model, not a curated record.
AUGAUGGCAGCUGAGGAGCUGAGAAGAGCACGUCUCACUACGGAAAGCAUCUGCAUAACUUGACAAGCCUAAGCAGUGUCAAGCUUUCAAAAUAAAGCUAAAAAUAGAAGGGGAAAUCUUGGCGUGAAGCUGGAGGAUACAUCUCAAGACUGUCUACUGUGCUCAUCUUUCCAAAACUAGCGUUACCAAGGUGUCCAGAAUUCCAUAAGCAGUGAUAAGUCUGAUAAGAAAUAAGAACUUGCGCUCUGAAAACAGGCUUCACAAUCAGCAGUCGUACAAGUUGUCCCGAAGUAUCACUGGAGUUGCUGGGGAGCCCUCCCWGUAGGCUGUGAAGACAUCUUUGCAUCAGAGACUGAAAGUAGUGAGUGCCAAAGGAUCAGAGUGAACAACUGCUUGUCUGGAUUUGUUGCUUAUCAUCCUAUUUGUGGUGUUCUGUGAACAGACAUUCYUGAGAUCAACUGUAUCCCCCUUGCUGGAGUACUACUGAGAAGAAAAAUGUGUUACUGAUGUUUUAAAGCAAGUUCAUGGCACUGAGGUAGCAUGUGCUGCGAAGACUAAAUCCUGUGAAACCUC